UCCCGGUUGGCCCGGGCAGUUUCGUAUGAAAAAUUCAACAUACGAUAAGGGUUGCGCUCGUUGCGGGACUUAACCCAACAUCUCACGACACGAGCUGACGACGGCCAUGCAGCACCUGUCACCAGGUUCCCGAAGGCACAUCUGUCUUUCGACUGACUUCCUGGGAUGUCAAACCUCGGUAAGGUUCUACGCGUAGCUUCAUAUUAAACCACAUCAUCCUCUGCUUGUGCGGGUCCCCGUCAAUUCCUUUGAGUUUUAAGCUUGCGCUCGUACUCCCCAGGCGGUGUGCUUAACGCGUUAGCUGUUCAGCCCAAGGGGUCGAUACCUCGAACUAAUAGCACACAUCGUUUACGGCGUGGACUAC
Molecule: unclassified non-coding RNA, 364 nt
Filed under: uncultured bacterium
Lineage: Bacteria
Description: contains 16S-23S intergenic spacer region
Source: RNAcentral